Molecule: ribosomal RNA, 510 nt
Filed under: uncultured bacterium
Lineage: Bacteria
Description: bacterial SSU rRNA
Rfam family: Bacterial small subunit ribosomal RNA
Source: RNAcentral
UGGGCGCAAGCCUGAUCCAGCAAUGCCGCGUGCAGGAUGAAGGCCUUCGGGUUGUAAACUGCUUUUGUACGGAACGAAAAGCCCUGGGUUAAUACCCUGGGGUCAUGACGGUACCGUAAGAAUAAGCACCGGCUAACUACGUGCCAGCAGCCGCGGUAAUACGUAGGGUGCAAGCGUUAAUCGGAAUUACUGGGCGUAAAGCGUGCGCAGGCGGUUUUGUAAGACAGAGGUGAAAUCCCCGGGCUCAACCUGGGAACUGCCUUUGUGACUGCAAGGCUAGAGUACGGCAGAGGGGGAUGGAAUUCCGCGUGUAGCAGUGAAAUGCGUAGAUAUGCGGAGGAACACCGAUGGCGAAGGCAAUCCCCUGGGCCUGUACUGACGCUCAUGCACGAAAGCGUGGGGAGCAAACAGGAUUAGAUACCCUGGUAGUCCACGCCCUAAACGAUGUCAACUGGUUGUUGGGUCUUAACUGACUCAGUAACGAAGCUAACGCGUGAAGUUGACCGCCUG